RNAcentral lists this ribosomal RNA (483 nucleotides) under uncultured bacterium. RNAcentral's name for it is "partial 16S ribosomal RNA". It matches the Rfam family "Bacterial small subunit ribosomal RNA", at positions 30 to 506 of the family's 1533-position model. The record is from RNAcentral.
AUUGAACGCUGGCGGCAGGCCUAACACAUGCAAGUCGAGCGGAUGAAGGGAGCUUGCUCCUGGAUUCAGCGGCGGACGGGUGAGUAAUGCCUAGGAAUCUGCCUGGUAGUGGGGGAUAACGUCCGGAAACGGGCGCUAAUACCGCAUACGUCCUGAGGGAGAAAGUGGGGGAUCUUCGGACCUCACGCUAUCAGAUGAGCCUAGGUCGGAUUAGCUAGUUGGUGGGGUAAAGGCCUACCAAGGCGACGAUCCGUAACUGGUCUGAGAGGAUGAUCAGUCACACUGGAACUGAGACACGGUCCAGACUCCUACGGGAGGCAGCAGUGGGGAAGAGUGGACAAUGGGCGAAAGCCUGAUCCAGCCAUGCCGCGUGGGUGAAGAAGGUCUUCGGAUUGUAAAGCACUUUAAGUUGGGAGGAAGGGCAGUAGGUUAAUACCUGGCUGUUUGGACGUUACCAACAGAAUAAGCACCGGCGAACUUCGU